UAUCCGGAUCAGGGACCCUCUGUGGUGGGUAGUUUGACUGGGGCGGUCGCCUCCUAAAAGGUAACGGAGGCGUACAAAGGUUUCCUCAAAUCGGUCAGACAUCGAUUGUAGAGCGUAAAGGCAUAUGGAAGCUUAACUGCGAGACCUACAAGUCGAGCAGAGACGAAAGUCGGUCUUAGUGAUCUGGCGGUAUUACGUGGAAAAGCCGCCACUCAACGGAUAAAAGUUACUCU
RNAcentral lists this ribosomal RNA (233 nucleotides) under Haptolina brevifila. RNAcentral describes it as "partial Bacterial large subunit ribosomal RNA". It matches the Rfam family "Bacterial large subunit ribosomal RNA", at positions 2237 to 2468 of the family's 2925-position model. The record is from RNAcentral. Lineage: Eukaryota; Haptophyta; Prymnesiales; Prymnesiaceae.